Long non-coding RNA from Protopterus annectens (West African lungfish), 163 nucleotides. RefSeq lists it as uncharacterized. The record is from RefSeq and is a predicted model, not a curated record. The transcript has 2 exons. NCBI's taxonomy places the organism in Eukaryota, Metazoa, Chordata, Ceratodontiformes, Protopteridae.
UUCUUACACUGGCUUUUUCUUUAGGUAGCGUUUUUCUUCUUGCAUUAUUUGCGUUGAAAAAUAUUAUUAAUAUAAAGUUUUCAUCACCGCCAGGUAGCAGCAGCUCAACAUAUUCCUGAUCCUUCUCUUUCGCGCCACAACCAGGGGAGUGGGUGUAAGUCGA